GCCGGGGGGCGUGUCUAUACAUGCAAGUCGAGCGGACAGAUGGGAGCUUGCUCCCUGAUGUUAGCGGCGGACGGGUGAGUAACACGUGGGUAACCUGCCUGUAAGACUGGGAUAACUCCGGGAAACCGGGGCUAAUACCGGAUGCUUGUUUGAACCGCAUGGUUCAAACAUAAAAGGUGGCUUCGGCUACCACUUACAGAUGGACCCGCGGCGCAUUAGCUAGUUGGUGAGGUAACGGCUCACCAAGGCAACGAUGCGUAGCCGACCUGAGAGGGUGAUCGGCCACACUGGGACUGAGACACGGCCCAGACUCCUACGGGAGGCAGCAGUAGGGAAUCUUCCGCAAUGGACGAAAGUCUGACGGAGCAACGCCGCGUGAGUGAUGAAGGUUUUCGGAUCGUAAAGCUCUGUUGUUAGGGAAGAACAAGUACCGUUCGAAUAGGGCGGUACCUUGRCGGUACCUAACCAGAAARSCACGGCUAACUACGUGCCAGCAGCCGCGGUAAUACGUAGGUGGCAAGCGUUGUCCGGAAUUAUUGGGCGUAAAGGGCUCGCAGGCGGUUCCUUAAGUCUGAUGUGAAAGCCCCCGGCUCAACCGGGGAGGGUCAUUGGAAACUGGGGAACUUGAGUGCAGAAGAGGAGAGUGGAAUUCCACGUGUAGCGGUGAAAUGCGUAGAGAUGUGGAGGAACACCAGUGGCGAAGGCGACUCUCUGGUCUGUAACUGACGCUGAGGAGCGAAAGCGUGGGGAGCGAACAGGAUUAGAUACCCUGGUAGUCCACGCCGUAAACGAUGAGUGCUAAGUGUUAGGGGGUUUCCGCCCCUUAGUGCUGCAGCUAACGCAUUAAGCACUCCGCCUGGGGAGUACGGUCGCAAGACUGAAACUCAAAGGAAUUGACGGGGGCCCGCACAAGCGGUGGAGCAUGUGSUUUAAUUCGAAGCAACGCGAAGAWCCUUACCAGGUCUUGACAUCCUCUGACAAUCCUAGAGAUAGGACGUCCYCUUCGGGGGCAGAGUGACWGKUGKUGCAUGGUUGUCGUCAGCUCGUGUCGUGAGAUGUUGGGUUAAGUCCCGCAACGAGCGCAACCCUUGAUCUUAGUUGCCAGCAUUCAGUUGGGCACUCUAAGGUGACUGCCGGUGACAAACCGGAGGAAGGUGGGGAUGACGUCAAAUCAUCAUGCCCCUUAUGACCUGGGCUACACACGUGCUACAAUGGACAGAACAAAGGGCAGCGAAACCGCGAGGUUAAGCCAAUCCCACAAAUCUGUUCUCAGUUCGGAUCGCAGUCUGCAACUCGACUGCGUGAAGCUGGAAUCGCUAGUAAUCGCGGAUCAGCAUGCCGCGGUGAAUACGUUCCCGGGCCUUGUACACACCGCCCGUCACACCACGAGAGUUUGUAACACCCGAAGUCGGUGAGGUAACCUUUAUGGAGCCAGCCGCCGAAGGUGGGACAGAUGAUUGGGGUGAAGUCGUAAUCAAAGGUUACCCGGC
This 1490-nucleotide ribosomal RNA is filed under the name Bacillus mojavensis. Its description in RNAcentral is "bacterial SSU rRNA". It matches the Rfam family "Bacterial small subunit ribosomal RNA". The record is from RNAcentral. Lineage: Bacteria; Bacillati; Bacillota; Bacilli; Caryophanales; Bacillaceae.